RNAcentral lists this ribosomal RNA (497 nucleotides) under uncultured bacterium. RNAcentral describes it as "partial 16S ribosomal RNA". It matches the Rfam family "Bacterial small subunit ribosomal RNA", at positions 28 to 507 of the family's 1533-position model. The record is from RNAcentral.
GAUGAACGCUGGCGGCGUGCCUAAUACAUGCAAGUCGAGCGAACGGACGAGAGGCUUGCUUCUCUGAUGUUAGCGGUGGACGGGUGAGUAACACGUGGAUAACCUACCUAUAAGACUGGGAUAACUUCGGGAAACCGGAGCUAAUACCGGAUAAUAUUUUGAACCGCAUGGUUCAAAAGUGAAAGACGGUCUUGCUGUCACUUAUAGAUGGAUCCGCGCUGCAUUAGCUAGUUGGUAAGGUAACGGCUUACCAAGGCAACGAUGCAUAGCCGACCUGAGAGGGUGAUCGGCCACACUGGAACUGAGACACGGUCCAGACUCCUACGGGAGGCAGCAGUAGGGAAUCUUCCGCAAUGGGCGAAAGCCUGACGGAGCAACGCCGCGUGAGUGAUGAAGGUCUUCGGAUCGUAAAACUCUGUUAUUAGGGAAGAACAUAUGUGUAAGUAACUGUGCACAUCUUGACGGUACCUAAUCAGAAAGCCACGGCUAACUACGUG